AGAAUGAACGCUGGCGGCAUGCCUAACACAUGCAAGUCGAACGAGACCUUCGGGUCUAGUGGCGCACGGGUGCGUAACGCGUGGGAAUCUGCCCUUAGGUACGGAAUAACUCAGGGAAACUUGUGCUAAUACCGUAUGAUGUCGAGAGACCAAAGAUUUAUCGCCUAGGGAUGAGCCCGCGUAGGAUUAGCUAGUUGGUGGGGUAAAGGCCUACCAAGGCUACGAUCCUUAGCUGGUCUGAGAGGAUGAUCAGCCACACUGGGACUGAGACACGGCCCAGACUCCUACGGGAGGCAGCAGUGGGGAAUAUUGGACAAUGGGCGAAAGCCUGAUCCAGCAAUGCCGCGUGAGUGAAGAAGGCCUUCGGGUUGUAAAGCUCUUUUACCCGGGAAGAUAAUGACUGUACCGGGAGAAUAAGCCCGGCUAACUCCGCGCCAGCAGCCGC
RNAcentral lists this ribosomal RNA (445 nucleotides) under uncultured bacterium. RNAcentral's name for it is "SSU rRNA". It matches the Rfam family "Bacterial small subunit ribosomal RNA", at positions 26 to 518 of the family's 1533-position model. The record is from RNAcentral.